This is a non-coding RNA of Nomia melanderi (Alkali bee), 547 nucleotides long. NCBI's taxonomy places the organism in Eukaryota, Metazoa, Arthropoda, Insecta, Hymenoptera, Halictidae. The record is from RefSeq and is a predicted model, not a curated record.
CUGAAAAGUGCAUCGUCACUCUGCAGGGUAAGUUUCGAAUUCGUUUGGACAAAGUGCAUACAUUAGAAAUUCGAGAAGAUUAGUGUUUGGGGAAAGUUGACAGUCUCAGAAGAUCUGAUAAACCUGAUGAACAAGUGGCAGGCAUUCGUGAUUGAACAUCUUUAAGCAACAUGCUUGUCCGAUCCUCUUCAAACAUAAAUCGGUCACGACACCACGAGGCGAGAGAAAAUGAGGGAACACAGCGCCGCGCGGAAGAUCGGCGCCGAAAGAGUGGGAUCCGAGGCGAAGCAACACGGAGGAUGGAAACGGAAAACGAAACGGGCAGGACACGCGGCGGAGGAGAAGACGGCGCGACGUAACCUUGCCGGCAGCACGGGAAGUCUGGAGCAGAAGCGGACGAACGGGCGAAAGAUCCCAGGGUAACAUUUUUAAAAUGGACUUUCAACCAGCCUGAUCGUGCGAGUGCUCCAUUGUGCGGCGUGCCUUCGCCUUCUCGCGGGUGGCGCGGCGCGGCGCGGAGCGAAACGACCGCCGACGAAAUAGAAUC